AUAGAGCCUUGAAACUGGCUCUGAUACCAACUGUCACAGGACUGAUUCUCAUCCAAAAUUUUUUUCAAGAAUACAAGCCUUGUGCGGUACUAGACUACUAUUUAGUUCAGCCUCUCAACACUCCCUACCCCAUGAGAUGCACACACCAAGUAGAAUGGGGACAAGAUAUCAAGGCACAUAGAGAAAAUAUCAAGGAUUUCUUUUAUUUCAAUUUCUAUAUAAUUCUAGAUAAUAGAGACCUGCCCAU
Molecule: long non-coding RNA, 247 nt
Filed under: Elaeis guineensis (African oil palm)
Lineage: Eukaryota; Viridiplantae; Streptophyta; Magnoliopsida; Arecales; Arecaceae
Description: long non-coding RNA (EGUI_LNC046490)
Source: RNAcentral